GUGAGGAAUAUUGGUCAAUGGACGAGAGUCUGAACCAGCCAAGUCGCGUGAAGGAAGACGGUUCUAUGAAUUGUAAACUUCUUUUGUGCAGGAAUAAAGUGGGUUACGUGUAACCUUUUGUAUGUACUGUACGAAUAAGGAUCGGCUAACUGCGUGCCAGCAGCCGCGGUAAUACGGAGGAUCCGAGCGUUAUCCGGAUUUAUUGGGGUUAAAGGGUGCGUAGGUGGAUUGAUAAGUCAGCGGUGAAAGUUUGCAGCUUAACUGUAAAAUUGCCGUUGAAACUGUCGGUCUUGAGUGCAAAUGAGGUAGGCGGAAUGUGUUGUGUAGCGGUGAAAUGCUUAGAUAUAACACAGAACUCCGAUUGCGAAGGCAGCUUACUGGGAUGCAACUGACACUGAUGCACGAAAGCGUGGGUAUCAAACAGGAUUAGAAACCCCUGUAGUCC
This 445-nucleotide ribosomal RNA is filed under the name uncultured bacterium. RNAcentral's name for it is "partial 16S ribosomal RNA". It matches the Rfam family "Bacterial small subunit ribosomal RNA", at positions 354 to 796 of the family's 1533-position model. The record is from RNAcentral.